GCAAAGCGAUUCCCUGAGUAGUGGCGAGCGAAAAGGGAACAGCCCAGCGCACAAUCUCCCGGUCUACCAAGGCCGCGGCGAAAUUUUGCGUAUAGGGAAGGGUCGUUUACAGCCUCGUGCCACCGUCUGAUGUGCCUAACCGUGAUCUGAAAUGUUCACGCACGUUGGGUGCUUUAUCUUUCGGGGUAAACGCUCGAUACACGGUUCCAUGGUGGGUGCAAGCCCCGUAUGGCCGCGUGAGAGUGUGCACUAAGGCUCGGCCUCUUUUUCCCUGAGAGUCGCGUUGUUUGAACAUACAGCGCUAAUCAGGAGGUAAACUCCUCCUAAGGCUAAAUACUUCCACAGCACCGAUAGAAAACAAGUACCGCGAGGGAAAGUUGAAAAGCACUUUGGAGAAAGGGUGACAAGACCGUGAGACCGUCCAGGGCAAAAGCCGGUGUCAAAUAUCCUAGUCGCGCUGGGACUAUGGCCUCAACAGCCAUAAGGCGCGAGCUCGUCUCCGGUUGUGCGAGUCUAAAAGUCCCACACCCCUGGGUGUGUGGCUCUCGUAGGAUCGAUUCGUAAUUACGCUCGUGCCUCUCGGUCCAUCAACAGCCCACCGUGACUCUUGCGAGGUCAUUCGCGGUAGCUGAAGCUUCUGCUCGGUACGUUCGCGAAGGGUCGAGAUUGUCGGAGGUCGUGGUAUCGCGGUAUCCCAAGUAGUUCUCCCGCGAGAGCGAAAGGCACCGCGGUGCGCGUCUGGUACACAUCCGUUGCCUCCAAAAUCGAAGCCUGAACGUACUCGAGUGUUGCGCUAGGCUGCCAACGCGUCUCCGAUCCUCUGCGAGAAGUUAUCCAACGCUCUGUCUGCUCUUCUCGGUCAUACUCGUCUCCAAGCGUUUCAGCGGCUGAAGCGACGAGUGGGCUCUAUAGAGUAGGCUGCAGUAUACGGUGGUAGUCCUAGGUGACGCCGGUCACGUCUCGAAACACGGGCCAAGGAGCAUAGCGUAAAGCCAAGUCCAAAUGUUUCUCGAAACUUUGUGGCGCGAGUGAAAGCGAUCGUACGGCUACACUGCGUAGCCGUAAGUGUGCGCGCUGAGAGUUCCGGGGCAACUCGAAUUUUCGAAGCGCGUUCCGAUCUAGUCAAGGUUGAUCCUCUAGUUCUUCACGAACGAACGGGCGCAAACCUCAGGCCCAUUCAACAGCCAACUUCGGUCGGUCGGAAGGGCACUGCCUAGGCUUUGAGCUAUGACCCGAAAGAUAGUGAACUAUGCUUGGCGAAGACGAAGCCCCAGGAAACUGUGGUGGAAGUCUGUAGCCGUUUUGACGUGCAAAUCAAUGGUGUCAGCUGAGCAUAGGGGCGAAAGACCAAUCGAACUAUCUAGUAGCUGGUUCCAUUCGAAGUUUCUCUCAGGAUAGCUUGCGUGACAUUAACGCUAUGAGUCUGGGCUCUUCGGUACACGAAAGCGUGCUGGUAGUCCGUCCCAUUUUGUCUGCAGUUGUUGAGAGUUGGCGAGCCGAGAACUUUGUCAUCUCACUCUCUAGUCACCAGGGUAGCGUAUCAUUUGGAUCGUGAGCAGUUACGUCUGGUAAAGAGAAUGAGUAGAGUUAGCUCGUUGCUUUMUAUAGCAACAGCAGCGGGGCGUCCUACGCCUCGCACUAUUAUCAAACUUUAAAUGGGCGAGGUACUCGGUAUUUUCUUAAUUGCUUGAUCCGGGGCGAAACACGUUUCGGCUUUACCGUCGAGACGAAGGUGAAUGCGUGCGCGCAAAGUGGGUCCUUUCUGGUAAGCAGAACUGAUAAUGAGGGAUGAACCUAACGCAUGUGCUAAGGGGCCAAAGAGACAGCUAUUUCUCGAAACCAUUGGAAAGGUGUUGCUUGCUGAAGACAGCAGGACGGUGGUCAUGGAAGUCGAUAUCCGCUAAGGAGUGUGUAACUACUCAUCCUGCCGAAGCGAGUAACCCUGAAAAUGGAUGGCUCUAUAGCUCUCUCCCGAUGCACAGCCGUCAGUAGCACUUGAGUCACCUCGUGUCUCUACGCUCUGACGAGUAGAAUGGCUAUGCUGCAUUGCUUCGACGGCUAUCGCGUGAGCGUGGUCUGAGCGUGCAGCAGUACAGAUCUUGGUGGUAGUAGCAAGUACUCUGGUGAAUAACCUUGAGCUGUGAGGUUGAUAAGGGUUCCAUGUCAACAGUGUUUGUACAUGGGUAAGUCGGUCCUAAGCUCCCAUUAUUCUUAAUGGUUAUUGCGAUCGCUCGGAAGUCACGGUGGCAAUGCAGUACUCUCCCACGGUGUCUCUCUCCAGACAACACACUACGUGCCGGUCUGUUGAGCUCUCCCCACCACUCCACCCUCUUGGCAUAUAUCGGCUCGAACUGGUACGGCGAGGCACGGUCAGUCAAACUCUUGCGCGGAGAGAUACUCAGAGAGGGUCUAAGGACGUAAUACGAUGUGUGCUAGCGCGAGCGUGAACGGUAGCGUUUUUCUCUCUGAGAAGUAGGACGCUGCGACAUAGUAACGCUCUCGCGACACACACACCCCGUAGACAAGUUCGUAAUCUCGCUAACGUAUCUCUCGACAACGCACAAGAGAGAGACUCCUCUCGUACUCUAGUAGUGCAGAUACUGCUACUGGUGUUGUUGGUGGCGCGCUCGACUAUYGUAGUGCAAGUAGAGAGGGGCAGCAACCCCCGAGGGUAGACGUGGGCCACUACACGYUUCCGUGUCUCUUGGAGAAAGAGAAUUGCGGACUCAGUUUGUAAAMCACACSUGGUMCCSUGAGASGGUUCACCGUUUCACGSACCUSGCAAUAKCUYCCCASCCCASUCGCUSUCAUAARUAUCUCGGCGGGGAGAUUUCUUCUCUCUUUGAUAUAGAUAYGUGUCSWGAAARCACCUMGAGUGGSGGAAGGUCAACGCUAUMUAGCAGAGUACUCUACUCUCUCGAGUAGAUAAMGAUGCUGCUUGUGAUCCGUGAAAAGGUGGUMGAGGGGAAARUAUGGGACAGCAGCKGGAGAUAGUGUACUCACACGUGUGUGUGCGCCCUCGCGCACACGCUCCUCUGUGUCUCUCUCUCUCUCUCUCUGUCUGUCCCGACACUUUACUCGAGUGUUAGCCAGGGCGUGGCCGUACCCAUAUCCGCAUCCGGUCUCAUA
Molecule: ribosomal RNA, 3129 nt
Filed under: Hyperoche medusarum
Lineage: Eukaryota; Metazoa; Arthropoda; Malacostraca; Amphipoda; Hyperiidae
Description: partial 28S ribosomal RNA
Rfam family: Eukaryotic large subunit ribosomal RNA
Source: RNAcentral